Molecule: non-coding RNA, 31 nt
Filed under: Mus musculus (house mouse)
Lineage: Eukaryota; Metazoa; Chordata; Mammalia; Rodentia; Muridae
Source: RNAcentral
UGACAUAUGGUAGAGCACAACCCCCAAGGUC